Long non-coding RNA from Oncorhynchus tshawytscha (Chinook salmon), 1572 nucleotides. The record is from Ensembl. Lineage: Eukaryota; Metazoa; Chordata; Actinopteri; Salmoniformes; Salmonidae.
UAUGGACCAGAACAGGGUCAUAUAGCCAACAGCUCUGAGAGGAGGGUACAUGAUGAGGUUAUGGACCAGAACAGGGUCAUAUAGCCAACAGCUCUGAGAGGAGGGUACAUGAUGAGGUUAUGGACCAGAACAGGGUCAUAUAGCCAACAGCUCUGAGAGGAGGGUACAUGAGGUUAUGGACCAGAACAGGGUCAUAUAGCCAACAGCUCUGAGAGGAGGGUACAUGAUGAGGUUAUAGACCAGAACAGGGUCAUAUAGCCAACAGCUCUGAGAGGAGGGUACAUGAUGAGGUUAUGGACCAGAACAGGGUCAUAUAGCCAACUGUUCUGAGAGGAGGGUACAUGAUGAGGUUAUGGACCAGAACAGGGUCAUACAGCCAACAGCUCUCAGAUACAGAGAGGAGGGUAUCAGAACAGGAUCAUAUUUGUUAAUUAAACUGUAGAGAGCUGUUAUCAUCAUCACUACAAUAGUCUCUACUACCGGGGAUUUAAGAAAAGAAACUAUUAAAACAGACAUGAAAUGCAGACAGUAAAAAUAUACUUUAAUGUGUUGAUUUGGUCAAACAACGCUGAUGAGUGUCAAGGAGGUGAGGUGUACAGUCACUAGUUGUGUGUGUGUGUCCUCACUGAGGAGGAUAGGGGCCAGUGGGCGGUGGGGGAGGAGGGGGAGGUGAGAGAAGGGGAGGUUGUGGUAGGAGUGAGAGGGGGAGGGGACCAGGGGAAGGACAUGUGGGGGGGAGGAGGGGGAGGAUAGAGGGGGAAGGACUGGGGCUGGUAGGGGGGAGGGUAGGGGUAGUGGGGCUGGUGUGUGUAGUACGGAGCCCCUUCGUAUCGGGGUGGGGGACCCCAGUUGUCACGGCGGGGUGGACGACUCUGUUGCAAAGGCCUCUGGGACAUCUGUGGUCUGGUGACGGAAUCUCUAUCUGGAAGAGAAAGAAAAUUAGGUCACACACACACACGGGUUAAAGGUCAAAUGAUAUACAGCCAACAACCAUCACAAUCUGAACCAACUGAUCACUAACCCCCCACCCCACACCUAGCCAUUUAGGCAGAAUGGUGGUCCCAACGCCUGUCUAUUCACUAUGUACUGAUUUUUCAUCACUGUGCUGCUCUCUCUCCUCCUCAUCAUUCUUCAAAGUGCUUUUCUCCUCAAAUAUUUGUUCAGAACAUUAACACAAUUAAUGUAUUUAUUGCACAAAUUUUUUUAUCUUAAAUCCAUCUAUGACAGCUUAAAUCCAUCUAUGACAGCUUAAAUCCAUCUAUGACAGCUUAAAUCCAUCUAUGACAGGGUUAGGUCUAAUCAAGGGGAAUCACUUGAAAUGUCCCCAUUUGUAUUUCUUACAACACGCAGGGUGAACCAGCCCAAUACCCAGUCUAAUAACUGAAUAGGGGAGACUGGGGCAGGGGGUUCCACAUGUUGGUGUCUCUCCCAAUCUACAGAGUGCUGUACAGCCCAAUACCCAGUCUAAUAACUGAACAGGGGAGACUGGGGCAGGGGGUUCCACAUGUUGGUGUCUCUCCCAAUCUACAGAGUGCUGUACAGCCCAAUACCCAGUCUAAUAACUGAACAGGG